CAUCAAGGGAAGAGAUUGGAACCCUGAUGAUGAAAAAAGUAAGAUGGCUUGGAAAUUUCCUAGACCUCAACGGAUUCGUACCUUUAUUUGGAUGAUUUUACAUGGAAGAGUUCUUAGUAAUGUUGAAAGAGUUAGGAGAGGUAUCUUGGAUGAUCUUUGGUGUCCUAUUUGCGAUUUUCACUUAGAAGACAUUGUGCACAUCAUACAUGAUUGUCCGACAGCUAAAGAUGUUUGGACUCAGGUUAAUCCAGGUAAGUAUAUUCCAAAUGUUUAUUCUCUUCCUUUUCAAGACUGGUUUUUUCUUAACUUGUAGGGGAAUAGGCUGGUUCAUGAGGAGGGAGCUAGUUGGGCUUGUUUUUUUGGAUUACUUAUUUAGCGCAUAUGGAAAAAUCAGAACUUAUACAUCUUUCAGGGCAAACCGUGGAGCUCAAAUGAAAUAGUUCAAGGAUCUUACAGUUGGGCGUUACAUUUCUUCUCUUUCCCUUAAGAGAUCCCUUCUGGAUGUCUUGAUCAACCUGUUGAUGUCCAUACCUCCGCAGAACAGGUUCAUCUUUUCACUAAUGGGGCAAUGCAAUUAGACUCUAGACUUACUGUGGCUAGGGGAGUUGUUCGUGACAAAGAGGGGCAUUGGAUCACUAGUUUCUACCAUUUUCUUGGAAAAUGUUCAGAUUUCAAUGCAGAACUGUGAGUAUAUUCCGAGGGAACAAAAUCAGAUUGUGGAUUAUUUAGCUAAGCAAGCUAUUAUCGAGAAAGGAAAUCUACAAGUUCUAGAUGUCCCAGUGGAGAUGGCUCGUGUUUUAAUUGAUAGGAAUAAGUUUUCAGACAAUUCUUUUGUUUAAGUGUUACUCUUGUAAUUUUGUUUUUUUUUCUCACCCCCAAAAAAAAAAGUUGAAGAGGAAUUAUGACGUAUUGUAUAAAAAGAUUGAUAAAUUAAUCAAAAUAUGAGCACCAUACCAUUUUUCAUUUUCAACAUUGAUAAAUUAUUUUAAUUUUAUUUAAUAUAAAAUAUUCAACGAAAA
This is a long non-coding RNA of Gossypium arboreum, 1019 nucleotides long. RefSeq lists it as uncharacterized. The transcript has 2 exons. The record is from RefSeq and is a predicted model, not a curated record. Lineage: Eukaryota; Viridiplantae; Streptophyta; Magnoliopsida; Malvales; Malvaceae.